RNAcentral lists this ribosomal RNA (2236 nucleotides) under marine metagenome. RNAcentral's name for it is "bacterial LSU rRNA". It matches the Rfam family "Bacterial large subunit ribosomal RNA", at positions 15 to 2264 of the family's 2925-position model. The record is from RNAcentral.
UGGGUUUAUGGGGGAUGCCUUGGCGUCAAAAGCCGAAGAAGGGCGUAGCAAGUCUGCGAUAAGCCUCGGUUUGCUGACUAGCAAGCUUAGCCGGGGAUACCCGAAUGGGAAAACCUGAUCAUAUGAUCAACCUUUUUAAGGUAGGUAAGCAGGAGAACUGAAACAUCUAAGUAUCCUGAGGAAAAUAAAUCAAACGAGAUUCCCUGAGUAGCGGCGAGCGAAAUGGGAUCAGCCUAAACCGUGUGGGAUUUAUCCUGUGCGGGGUUGUAGGGCACUUUAUAUAGAAGUUACAAAAUGACAUUUUAGUAGAAUAGAUUGGAAAGUCUAACCAUAGAGGGUGAAAGUCCCGUAAACGAAAAAAUGUCAUCUUCUAAAGUGUUCCUGAGUACGACGGGACACGUGAAAUCUUGUCGGAAUCUGGGGGGACCACCCUCCAAGGCUAAAUACUUUUGACGACCGAUAGUGAACUAGUACCGUGAGGGAAAGGUGAAAAGAACCCCGAGAGGGGAGUGAAAUAGAACUGAAACCAUAAACCUACAAACCGUGGGAGCUUGUAUUUAUAUGAGUGACCGCGUGCCUAUUGAAGAAUGAGCCAACGAGUUACUUGGUACGGCAAGAUUAAGAAGUUAAGCUUUGAAGUCGAAGCGAAAGCAAGUCUGAAUAGGGCGAAUUAGUCGUGUCAAGUAGACCCGAAACCGUGUGAGCUACCUAUGGCCAGGUUGAAGCGAGAGUAAAAUCUUGUGAAGGACCGAACCCGUGUACGCUGCAAAGUGCUGGGAUGAGCUGUGGGUAGAGGUAAAAUGCCAAACGAACACGGAGAUAGCUGGUUCUCUCCGAAAUGUAUUUAGGUACAGCGUUAUGUAAUACUUCAUGGAGGUAGAGCACUGGAUAGACUAGGGGGCGCAAGCUUACCAAACCUAACCAAACUCCGAAUACCAUGAAGGGUAUCAUAGCAGUGAGACUGUGGGGGAUAAGCUCCAUUGUCGAAAGGGAAACAGCCCAGAUCGCAAGUUAAGGUCCCUAAGUAUAUGCUAAGUGUUAAACGAAGUAGGGUCGCCCAGACAGCCAGGAGGUUGGCUUAGAAGCAGCCAUCCUUUAAAGAGUGCGUAAUAGCCCACUGGUCAAGGGGCCCCGCACGGAAAAUAAACGGGGCUAAGCAUAUCACCGAGACUGCGGGAUCUAUUUAUAGAUCGGUAGGAGAGUGUCGUUAAAGCAUUGAAGCUAAGCUGUAAGGCUUGGUGGAGUUUUAACAAGUAAGAAUGUUGGCAUGAGUAGCAAAAAUGCCGGUGAGAAUCCGGCAGGCCGUAAGUCUAAGGAUUCCUACGCAACGUUGAUCGGCGUAGGGUUAGUCGGUCCUAAGGCGUAUCCGAAAGGAAAAGUCGAUGGACAGCUGGUGAAUAUUCCAGCACCUAUAAUUAAUUGUUUGAGUCAAAGGGGUGACGCAGAAAGAUAAACAGAGCAUACGUAUUGGACAUCGUGUGUUUUUGCCUGUAGAUGAGUAGAGAAGGUUAAAAUAUUUUCUACGUUUGAAUUGAGGGGUGAGAAAACUAUGAGGUUCGCCUCGUAGAAUUCUGUCGACUCUAAACUGCCAAGAAAAGCCUCGUUGAUUAGAUUUUUCAUAGACCGUACCGCAAACCAACACAGGUAGACAGGGAUAAACGUCCCAAGGCCAUCGAGAGAACCAUCGUUAAGGAACUCGGCAAAUUGACCCCGUAACUUAGGGAGAAGGGGGACCUUUUGUGUAUAUGAGUUUACCUCAAAAAGCAUGGAAGGUAGCAUAAAAUAGGCUGAAGCGACUGUUUACCAAAAACACAGGUCCAUGCCAAAGCGAAAGCUGAUGUAUAUGGGCUGACGCCUGCCCAGUGCCGGUAGGUUAAGGAAAGUUGUGCAAGCAACUGACUGAAGCCCCGGUGAACGGCGGCCGUAACUAUAACGGUCCUAAGGUAGCGAAGUCCCUUGUCGGGUAAGUUCCGACCCGCACGAAUGGCGUAACGACUUCAGCACUGUCUCAACGAUGGACUCGGUGAAAUUGCAGGACCGGUAAAGAUGCCGGUUACGCGCAGCAGGACAAAAAGACCCCGUGGAGCUUUACUGCAACUUGGCAUUGGUUCGAGUUUUAAAAUGUGUAGGAUAGGCGGGAGACUUUGAACUCUAGGCGUUAGCCUAGGGGGAGUCGCCCUUGAAAUACCGCCCUUUUUAUGAUUUGGACCUAACACUUUUGGACAGUGUCUGGUGG